AAGUUUAAAGGUGUUUUCCUUGGGGGAACGUUGGCUGUUACAACACAGAAAAGUCUGAGUUAUUUGUCACAAGCCUCCAACUCUAGGAUUUAACAAUAGCAGAAAAAGAGUUUGAGUUGGCUUCAUCUCCAGCCUACUAGCAGGAAGGCCAUAACAAGUCCAGCUGCCAGCUCCAGGCACAGCUCAACAAUGUCCAGAGGAAGAUGGCACUGUCUACUCCUGUGUGUCAUGAGAUGGCUAAACGUCUCCCCAAAGCUCCCAGGUGACAUUAAAACACGCUUGUCAGCAGAUGGAAAUAACCCAGCCAUGAGGAAGAAAGUGAAAGAAAAUGAGAUAACUGGGAGCCAAGAUCUUUGUUAAGUUACGAAUGAAUGAAUGAAUGAAUGAAUGAAUGUGAGGUGAUAGAUGUGUUAAUUAACUAGGUGGUGGGAAUCUUUCACGGUGUAUAUGUAUAUCAAAUCACUACCAUGGACACUUUAAAUAUAUUACAAUAUUAUUUGUCAUUUAUAUCACAAUAAAGCUGAAAAAAUUUUAUUAAA
Long non-coding RNA from Felis catus (domestic cat), 539 nucleotides. RefSeq lists it as uncharacterized. The record is from RefSeq and is a predicted model, not a curated record. The transcript is spliced from 3 exons. NCBI's taxonomy places the organism in Eukaryota, Metazoa, Chordata, Mammalia, Carnivora, Felidae.